UACUUAGGUGGCGAGCGUUGUCCGGAUUUACUGGGCGUAAAGGGAGCGUAGGCGGAUUUUUAAGUGAGAUGUGAAAUACUCGGGCUCAACUUGAGUGCUGCAUUUCAAACUGGAAGUCUAGAGUGCAGGAGAGGAGAAUGGAAUUCCUAGUGUAGCGGUGAAAUGCGUAGAGAUUAGGAAGAACACCAGUGGCGAAGGCGAUUCUCUGGACUGUAACUGACGCUGAGGCUCGAAAGCGUGGGGAGCAAACAGG
This 253-nucleotide ribosomal RNA is filed under the name uncultured bacterium. RNAcentral's name for it is "partial 16S ribosomal RNA". It matches the Rfam family "Bacterial small subunit ribosomal RNA", at positions 524 to 776 of the family's 1533-position model. The record is from RNAcentral.